GAUACCCCACUAUGCUUAGCCUUAAAUUAUUUAUUACACUAAAACCGCCNAAAAANUUCGAGCGCAAGCUUAAAACUUAAAGGACUUGACGGUAUCCUAUCUGUCUAGAGGAGCCUGUUUUAUAAUCGAUAAUCCUCGUUCAACCUCACCUCUUUUAGCUAAUCAGCCUGUAUACUUCCGUCGUAAGCUUACCAUAUGAAUGUAUAAGUAGGCUAAAUAGUUUUAUCACUAAAACGUCAGGUCAAAGUGCAGCCCAUAAAGAGGGAAAAAAUGGGCUACCGUUUCUAACUUUAGAACAAACGAACUAGCACCCUAACAACUGCUAUGAAGGCGGAUUUAAAAGUAAANUGAAAAUAGAUUGUUCACUUUAAUUAUGCUCUAGGAUAUGUAC
This 391-nucleotide ribosomal RNA is filed under the name Hyperolius tuberilinguis (tinker reed frog). RNAcentral's name for it is "partial 12S ribosomal RNA". It matches the Rfam family "Bacterial small subunit ribosomal RNA", at positions 781 to 1386 of the family's 1533-position model. Lineage: Eukaryota; Metazoa; Chordata; Amphibia; Anura; Hyperoliidae. The record is from RNAcentral.